Molecule: ribosomal RNA, 465 nt
Filed under: Vreelandella stevensii
Lineage: Bacteria; Pseudomonadati; Pseudomonadota; Gammaproteobacteria; Oceanospirillales; Halomonadaceae
Description: partial 16S ribosomal RNA
Rfam family: Bacterial small subunit ribosomal RNA
Source: RNAcentral
CCUACGGGGGGCAGCAGUGGGGAAUAUUGGACAAUGGGGGCAACCCUGAUCCAGCCAUGCCGCGUGUGUGAAGAAGGCCCUCGGGUUGUAAAGCACUUUCAGUGAGGAAGAACGCCUGGUGGUUAAUACCCAUCAGGAAAGACAUCACUCACAGAAGAAGCACCGGCUAACUCCGUGCCAGCAGCCGCGGUAAUACGGAGGGUGCGAGCGUUAAUCGGAAUUACUGGGCGUAAAGCGCGCGUAGGUGGCUUGAUAAGCCGGUUGUGAAGGCCCCGGGCUCAACCUGGGAACGGCAUCCGGAACUGUCAAGCUAGAGUGCAGGAGAGGAAGGUAGAAUUCCCGGUGUAGCGGUGAAAUGCGUAGAGAUCGGGAGGAAUACCAGUGGCGAAGGCGGCCUUCUGGACUGACACUGACACUGAGGUGCGAAAGCGUGGGUAGCAAACAGGAUUAGAUACCCGAGUAGUC